ACGAACGCUGGCGGCGUGCCUAACACAUGCAAGUCGAGCGGGGUCCAUCCAGUGGCAACACUGGUGAAGACCUAGCGGCGAACGGGUGAGUAACACGUGAGAAACCUGCCCUGAACUCUGGGAUAACCCGAGGAAACUCGAGCUAAUACCGGAUGCCCCCACCGAGUCGCAUGGCUUGGUGAGGAAAGAUUUAUCGGUUCAGGAGGGUCUCGCGGCCUAUCAGCUAGUUGGCGGGGUAACGGCCCACCAAGGCAUCGACGGGUAGCUGGUCUGAGAGGACGAUCAGCCACACUGGGACUGAGACACGGCCCAGACUCCUACGGGAGGCAGCAGUGGGGAAUAUUGCGCAAUGGGCGAAAGCCUGACGCAGCAACGCCGCGUGCGGGAUGACGGCCUUCGGGUUGUAAACCGCUUUCAGUGGGGACGAAAUCAGACGGUACCCACAGAAGAAGCCCCGGCCAACUACGU
Molecule: ribosomal RNA, 468 nt
Filed under: uncultured bacterium
Lineage: Bacteria
Description: bacterial SSU rRNA
Rfam family: Bacterial small subunit ribosomal RNA
Source: RNAcentral